This is a long non-coding RNA of Papaver somniferum (opium poppy), 641 nucleotides long. RefSeq lists it as uncharacterized. NCBI's taxonomy places the organism in Eukaryota, Viridiplantae, Streptophyta, Magnoliopsida, Ranunculales, Papaveraceae. The record is from RefSeq and is a predicted model, not a curated record. The transcript is spliced from 2 exons.
UCUCUUUAUUAUUUAUUUAUUUUCUUCUCAGAAACAUUUCUAAAAGCAAACAAAACACCCCUUCUUGUUUUUCUCGGUUCUUCUCUCAUAUAACUUCUUCUACUGAUUUCAUUUCAAAAUGAUCUAAAGCAAAGGAAAGAUUUGUGGCUUUUAAAUCCGAAGUGGAGAUUCCAUCAUGGGCUAGGUUUUUCUUACACAAAGAGUACGAAGAGAAGUUGCAGCAGUAAGCCGGGAUGAGCUUACAGCGAGCCUAGAAGCUUUGAAAGUUAGUAUUUUGUAAGUCUGUGAUAUUGUAUAUCACAGGGGUACCUGGGUAGUUAGUUUUUGCUUUAGUCCCAUGUCAUUUUGUCGAAUUUUUGCAUGUAUAUAUACGGCAUACAGAACCUUCUUUUCUCGUUGGGAUAUGGGCAUAUCUUCAUUUACAUACUAGUAUCUUCUUAGAACUCAUUUUAGUUGAACCUUAAUGUAUUAGCAGGUCCCCCUUUGCGUAUUUCUAUCUAUCUGGAGCACCGCUCAUGUAUACUUAAAUUUUUAUUUAGAUGAACAUAAAUGAUGAUGGGAAAUGUUGUGUAUUGACUGUCAUUUUAAGAAAAUGGUGUACUUGGAUUUCACUGUGUAAACAUUAUGUUUUCCAUGAUUCA